UUACGCUGUUAUCCCUAAGGUAACUUAGUCUAAUAAUCAAUAAUAAUGGAUCUAAUAUUCAUAAAUCAAUGUUAAAUAAAUAAAAAAGUUAAUUAUAUAUUUUUGUCACCCCAACAAAACAUAAAAAAAUAUAAAAAUAUUCAUAUAUAACAGUUUAUAUUAUAUUAUGUAAAGAUCUAUAGGGUCUUCUCGUCUUCCAACAGAAUUUUAGCUUUUUAACUAAAAGAUUAAAUUUUAAAACAAAUAAAAUGAGACAGUCAAUUCCUCGUUAAACCUUUCAUUCCAGCCCUCUAUUAAAAGACUAAUGAUUAUGCUACCUUUGCACGGUCAGUAUACCGCGGCCGUUAAAUCCUCACUGGGCAGGUCAGACCUUCAAUUAAAUUCAAAAGGACAUGUUUUUGUUAAACAGGCG
This 412-nucleotide ribosomal RNA is filed under the name Libellula croceipennis (neon skimmer). Its description in RNAcentral is "partial 16S ribosomal RNA". The record is from RNAcentral. Lineage: Eukaryota; Metazoa; Arthropoda; Insecta; Odonata; Libellulidae.